This 2008-nucleotide ribosomal RNA is filed under the name Candidatus Bathyarchaeota archaeon. Its description in RNAcentral is "partial 23S ribosomal RNA". It matches the Rfam family "Archaeal large subunit ribosomal RNA", at positions 1 to 1978 of the family's 2987-position model. Lineage: Archaea; Thermoproteati; Candidatus Bathyarchaeota. The record is from RNAcentral.
AAGCCCGAUAUGCCACGCCGUCUGGAGAAUGGCUCGGCUUGAGAGCCGAAGAAGGGCGCGGCAAGCCGCGAAAGAGCCCCGGGUAAGCGCAUGCAGCCUUAGAACCGGGGACACCCGAAUGGGACUUCCCACAUCGGUUCUUCGGAACCGCUGUGCUCCCGAAUGGGAGCGGGAACCCCCCGAACUGAAGCAUCUUAGUAGGGGGAGGAAAAGAAACCAAAAGGGAUUCCCCUAAUAGCAGCGAGCGAAAAGGGAAAAGUCCAAACCAAAUCCCACAGGGAAACCUGCGGGAGAUGUAGAGUUACAGGCCCAGCUUCCUCCUAACUGGCGAAGCCGAAGUGGCCUGGAAAGGCCUGCCAAAGAAGGUGAAAGCCCAGUAAGCAUAAACCAGAAGGAGCUGAGCUGGAGUCCUAGAAUACCGUACCCUGGUUUGGGUGCGGAAAGUUGGAAGACACCAACUCCCAAGACUAAACACAUCUCAAGACCGAUAGCGUACUAGUACGGUGACGGAAAACUGAAAAGUACCCCGGAAGGGGGGUGCAAAGAGCCUGAAACCAGACGGUUACAGACGUGUGCAGCCCGGAAGGGCAGAUCCCUCCCAAAGGAAACCGUCGUGAGGCGGCAGUACGAAGGAGGGGGACCAGGGUUGCACGUUCCGUCUCGAAACACGGGCCGGGGAGUUCACAGCCGUGGCAAGCCUAAGGGUCUAAAAGCCCGUAAGCAAAGGGAAACCGAGAUGCGCGCAACCAGCCUUCUGGCUGGCCAGGCGCAGGGUCUGAAAGGGCCCGAAGUCACAGCUGUGAAAACUAGAAACCAGGCGAUCUAGCCCUGGGCAGGGCGAAGCUAGGCGAAAGCUUAGUGGAGGCCCGCAAGGGUGCUGACGUGCAAUUCGUUCCUCAGACCUGGGGCUAGGGGCGAAAGACCAAUCUAGCCUGGUGAUAGCUAGUUCCCUCCAAAGUGGGUCUCAGCCCAGUCUCAAGCGAGGCAGCUGGUGGGGUAGAGCUCUGAUUGGAAAGUAAGGAGUCGAAAGACUCCGCUUUUCUUUCAAACUUCGAAUUCAUCAGCACCGUAGACCUUGGGAAACGGGUUACGGGGGGUAAGCUCCCGGACCGAGAGGGGGACAACCCAGACUGAGGUUAAGGCCCCAAAGUGCUGGCUAAAUGUCAAACUGAAGGGCGUCGUCAGCCUCAGACAGCGGGGAGGUAGGCUUAGAAGCAGCCAUCCUUCAAAGAAAGCGUAACAGCUCACCCGCCGAGGCUGACGGCCCCGAAAAUGGACGGGGCUAAGCCAGCCGCCGAUACCUCAGGACGCAACCAUGUGUUGCGCCGGUAGGAGGGCGUCCUGGCUGGGUAGAAGCUGGGCCGUGAGGUCCAGUGGACCGGUUCAGGAGUGCAGAUCCCGGUGGUAGUAACAGCAAAGAGAGGUGAGAAUCCUCUCCGCCGAAGGGGCCAGGGUUCCCCGGCAAUGUUCGUCAGCCGGGGGUAAGUCGGUCCUAAGGCAUGGCCUAACCGAGCAUGCCGAAAGGGAAUCCGAUUAAAAUUUCGGAACCACGGAGGUACAUGCGGCAACGCAAGCUCAACGCCUGACGCUUCGAGGUAGGCUGAGCAAGGCUGUCGCCUUGUUUAACCGCAUAAGUCUGGGGAGUACCGUAAUGGUGAGAACCAGAUGAAAACGGGAAUAGCCGCCCGUUUUAGGGCGGUUCAGCUGAUUUUUGGAGCCAUUGAAAAGGGCGUUGGGAUGGAUCCUUCGUGACCGUACCUAGAACCGACACAGGUGUCCCUAGGCGAGAAACCUAAGGCGUGUCGGGUAUACACUAGAGCGAGGGAACUCGGCAAUUUAGCCCCGUACCUUCGGUAUAAGGGGUGCCUGCUGUUUCAGUCUCUGACUUUAAUAGCAGGUCGCAGUAGCAAAGGGGUCCCGACUGUUUAAUAAAAACAUAGGAAGCCGCAAGCGCGAAAGCGUGUGAACGGCUUCUGAAUCCUGGCCAGUACAGGUACCUCAAACCUGG